Molecule: long non-coding RNA, 17635 nt
Organism: Haemorhous mexicanus (house finch)
Lineage: Eukaryota; Metazoa; Chordata; Aves; Passeriformes; Fringillidae
Exons: 4
Source: RefSeq, a predicted model, not a curated record
UUUCUCCAGCCAGGCCGAAUCAUAGCUCCUUCCUGUUCCCCGGCAAUUCGGUCUGCUUGCAGGGAGGGUAUUGCUCGCUGCAGGCAGCCAGUUCUACCCGUGAGCAGCUUGGCACCUUGGGACCUCUUCUCAGCCAGCCAUAGGUGAGCCCAUUGCUUGCAGCAACUGCUGGUUGAUGGGGACUUUUCCACACUCACCAUUGCCAGGAAGAUCCUCACCAUCUGUGUGGGUGCUUGAGGGGAAACGGGACCACCCCACCUAUUCUCUCUCUCUCUGGAGAGAGGGAGCCCCAGGUGCUGCUUGACUGGAACCACAGCAGAGCUGCCAUGGCCAGGAUACUGCCACAGACAGAUUCCUCCCUGGAGUGAGGAUGCUCCUCAAGGUCAUGCCUUGAGGCUGAGAGAAAUGUUUGCCCAUGGUCAUUGGUUUGGGUUCCACCUGCACAUUGGAUGGGAGAGAAGGUCACAGAAAGCUGUCAGCAAACAUGAAGCAAAAGGACCUCUGGACAGCAAGGCAAGGAGAUGCCUACUCUGAGACCCUGAACUGCACCAGACAACACUGGGGGCACAAAGCUCUCGCGGGGGGCUGUGCAAUAGAGGCCAGUGUGUGUGUGCAGGGACAUGGCACCAGGGAGGGGGCAGUGGAGUGAAGGUGCCCUUGUGAAAGCCAGGGUCUGCCACAAGAGAGAGAACAAACAACGGGGUGUGUCCACAGCAGGGACAGGGAGAGGCAAGGGAACAAGCAGAGGUCUCCAAAGCACUGCCUGGGCUGAGGUGCCAAGUUCCAGAGGAGCCUGAGGCUCUGCAGAGGCAGUGAAAGCCCAAUUUACCUGCUCGCCACUUCUACUGGGCACAGUGGAUAAUUCAGGCCUCUCUCUCUUCUUCUCUGCUGAUGGACCUGGCUGCUUAGAUUCCAGGCUGGUCCUCGAGCCAUGUAACAGCUGCUCCUCUUGUGCUCCAACAGCCUGCUGGGUAUGAAGAGAGGAGAUGAUGCCCAUAUUUCAAACACCUCAGAAAUCUCCAUCUCAGGAAGCAUCUUCAAAGCACCAGCAGUGCAGCUGCUGUUCAGCCCUCAGAACAAAACUCAGCUGGGUUUAGUCCAUCACUCUGCUCACUUGCUCCAUUCCUUUGCACACAGAAUCCAAACCCCCAUGUGUUGCCUCCCCUUGUGUGGGCACAGGAGAAGCAGCUCCCCAUGCCCAGCUUUUGGGCUAGAGCUGGUUUGAACAGUGAGCUCCUGCACAGGCAGCCCAGGGCCAGGGAGCAAAUUCUCCCUCUCCCAAACAUCAGAGUAUUCCACAACGGGAGCAGAACACAAUAUGGGCAACCAAGCCCGGGGGAAGAAUGAGCCUUCAAGCAGUCCCGAGGCCUUGAAACUCAUCAAACUCUUCUUUCCUGACACCACAGGCUUCUGUUCCAGAGGAGCCUGAGGCUUUGCAGAGGCAGUGAAAGCCCAAUUUACCUGCUCGCCACUUCUCCUGGGCACAGUAGAUAAUUCAGGCCUCUCUCUCUUCUUCUUCUCUGCUGAUGCAAGCAGUUUCUUAGAUUCCAGGCUGAUCCUCGAGCCAUGUAACUGCUGCUCCUCUUGUGCUCCAACAGCCUGCUGGGUAUGCAGAGAGAUGAUUCCCAUAUUUCAAACAUCACAGAAGCUGUCCCUCAGAAAUCUCCAUCUCGGGAAGCAUCCUAGAAGCACCGGCAGUGCAGCUGCUGUUCAGCCCUCGGAACAAAACUCUGCUCCCUUUAGACCAUUCUUUAGCUCACCUGCUCCGUCCCUUGGAAUGCCACAGCAUGACCAGCCCAUGCUGCCUCCCCUUGCAAGGGCACGGGAGGAGACGCUCCCAUGCCCAGCUUUUGGCCUGGAGCUGAACAGCAAGCUCCAGAGCUGGAUCAGUCAUUCCAGGCGUGCCAGGAAACAAUCUGGCAGUCAGUGGUCUCUGGCUGGAGCCAGGCAGACAGACAAGGCUGCCUGCUGCAGCCCGGGCUGCUUUACCCAAGCAGGCCUGCACUGACAGGGAUAGAGACCCACCUCUUCAUGGGAAACAUCUCUGGAAUAAUUCAGGGACGCUGCAGGAGACUGCAAGUCAAUGCCAGUGUCUGCUUGGAUACGAGUCUUUCCCUUCAGGAAGGCCAAGCGUUUCUGCAGAGCCCCUUUGGCAAUUUUAAACGUGGUCAGUGCAGCACUCAGAGUGUUCCCUCUUUCUUCCUUCAAAGCAGCAGCCCCAUGCUUCAACUCUUCCUGCAUGGUUUCCUUUUCACUGUCCAAUUGUUGCAUUCUUUCCUGCUGACUUUGAAUGUUGAGUGCACGCAUUUCAUUUUUCCUUUCCAGAUCUCUCGUCUGCUGCUGGUACAAUGACCGUCCAUGCUGCCAAAACAGGGAGAAAAAGGGUCACUCAUUCCCUCUCUUGGUUUGCUUUUCAUACCAGAUCUGGACUCCUGCAGCAGGGGCAGGCACAGGCUGCCCCUCUCUCUCUGCCCCUCGGGAUGCUGCAGACCUUAGCUGGGAUCCCCCUUGAUGCUGCAUCUUUCCCAGCUCACUCAGCCCCUCCCAGCUUCCUUUCUGCCCUUCCCCGACCUCCUGCAGCUCCACUCCAGUGCUCCUUUGGGGAGGAGCUGCCAGAACGGCAGCCAGGAUUUCAAGUGCACGCUAAGCAGGAUUCAGGCAGUGCCACGAGGAUGUGCUCUCCAUCAGGGAGGAAGGGAAGAGCAAACACCCCCAGCCUUUCUUUCCCUGGGGCUGGGCUGACAGGAGUGGUUUUCCACCUCUCCUGUGUAGAGUUUCCAUGGCUCCAUCCCUGAGAGCCUCACUGCCCUCUCUGGGAGCAGCAAUGGCCAGGUCAGUCUGUCAUUCUCUGCUGCCACUCAGGACGAGUUCUCCCUUUGCAGGCACACGUCCUGGUGGGGAUCAGCACUUGGCUUUCCUCUCCUCUCUCCCCACUGGCUGCUCUCACAUGGCCAAGGCCAAACAGCUUUCUAUUAACAGCAAACUUGGGACUCUCCCCCCUCCUUCCAGAUCCAGAUAUUUAGAAAUCUGAACAUGGGUUUGGACACCAGGAAUUCCCCAAACCAUGCAAUGUCAAUAGGGACAGUGAGGACAUUGAGAACUAAAGGUUCUAGGGGACAGAAGCCCAGCAUGGAGGAAAAUCAGCAGCCUCAGCAUUAAGUGGCUUCACCAUGACUACAGCACUUAUUCAGAAGAAUGGAAUUACAAAAGUUAUACUGGAAAAAGGCGCCCCUUAGAACUGUGAACACAAGGUCCAAACAUAACUAGGAAAUGGCCUUUAGUGGCAUCUGCCAAUCUCACCAGCACAUCCUUCCUUUCCUUCUCCAUGAUUCCCAAUUUCUUCUUCAGAGAUUCCACCUCCUGACGAAGAGUCACAGACUCUUCCCAUCUUUCAGUGGCCUCUUUCUCCAGGGCAGUUACACGAGAAAUGUGCUUGGCUUCUUCCUUCCACCAGUCUGCAGCAGGAAAGGGGAAGGAGAAGUAGAAGGGGAAAAGCAAAGCAAAGCCAAACUGAUGUGCAUCCUGCAGAGACAACAGCACUGUCUUCUCUGCUUGCCUGUGUUUGCCAGGCCCCAAGCCCACGAAGGUUCCAAAGCUGACAGAAAUGAAGGAAAGUUCCCAGUAGAGAAAAAGGCAGGAAUGAAAGGGGCAAGGUUCAGAGGGAUAGGAAAGUGUGUUUGCUCUUGGCCUUGUGCAGAGUGAGCAAGGCAAGAGAGAUGAAGGAGAGGGGAUGCCUGUGCAGGCCUGCUCCAGAGAGACCAAUAGCCUGGAGGCUCUGGCAGGGCCUGGAUUUUGGGGGAAUGGAGCUGAGGCAUCCAGCUACAGCUCCUCAGCUGGUGAGACAGCAUGGGGCAGUGAGUGGCAGAGGAGAAGCUGUACCUUGCUCACAUUCCUCCAACUCCUUCUGCAGCUCCAGAUUGCAGGCUCUGAGGUUGUCUCUCUGAGCCUCUGUUUUCCUCAGCUCCAGCUCCACAGCCUUACACUGUGUGGCCAAGGCAAGAGCUUUGUCCUCAGAGCUCUGGAGCUUCACACGCAGGUCAGACACCUCAGCCUCCAGGACGUGCACAGAGUCCCUCAAAGAGCGUUCUCCUGCUCGAGACUCUUCCAGCUCCUUCAGCAGCUUCUUCUGUCGAGUUGCCUGGGAAGCCUCCAUCUGCAGCACUGCGUCCUGCAGGGCCAGGAUCUGGAAGAUGGAUGCACACAGCCUCAGGGACAGGGCUGCUCCUGAGGGAGCAGAGUGGGCCGCAGGGAGAGCAACAAAGGAGAAAAGGUUUCAGGCAAAAAACAUGUCAAAACCAGAAGGCACAGAAGCAAGGAUUCCAAUGGAGAGAAAUGUAGAGAAAACAAGUAAGGGAGGCACUGGGCAUCCUUGGGCGGCAGCUCUGAACAGCGGCUCAACUGGCUGUGCUGGAAGUGCCCUGCCCAGCCUGCCACAGCCACCUCUGUGUCCCCACAUUGCUCAGUGCCCGGCACAGGCCCACACUCUGUCUGGGACAGCACUGCUAACAGAGGGACAGAGAAGACCCAGAGGAGUCUGCUGCUGCUUCUCUUCCCAGACUUCCUACUGGGACCCUGGAGAGGAUGGGGGAAAACUUCUGCAGCAGACACCAGAUCCAGCCUCGGCCUCAGGGUGCAGCAGCAGCCCCGGGCAGAACACGGCAGCUGUGGAUGCUGCUGGGAGGGGAAAGAGGUUGUAGCCUCCAAGCCAAAGGUGCUGUUGUGUGUCCCUGGAGAAGAGGAUGCCACUGCACAGCUUACCUGCGUGUUGAGCUCCCGCAGUUGUCCAGCACGGUUGGAAGAGAGCUGUUCGGCCAGCUGAAGGGCAGAUUGACACUGAGACACCUGAUUGUUCAGUGCCAGGUUCUGCUCUUCCAGCGAUCUGAGGCACACAUUCUUCUCCUCCAGAGACAGAAUCAGGCUAGAAGGGAAGCAAGCAACUCAUUACUAACUGAUAUCACAUUUUAUCAACUCUUAGGACUUGCAUCAGCUCAGGGGAAAACUGCUCUGUCUGAUGAGGUUUGUCUGAACAACUUGGCCAUUUGUUCCCCCUGCAGUCCCAGCCCAGCAUGUGCCUACUCUGCUUUGUCCCUGAAGGAACAGUGAGUUCCUGCCUACAUGCCCUACCUUCUUUUUGAGAUGGAAAUGUGAAUUCAAACAUAACAAAGUCUUGCCAUGAAGACAUUAGGGAAGAGGAACAAUUUCCUUCUAACUAACCAGGCUCCAAACAGGGAAGUUUGGUCAACAUGGAAGAGACAUUUGCUUCCCCCACCUUACACAUCCAGGUAGGAUGAGCAGCACCCUACAGCCAGGGGAUCUCUGGCAAGAUCCCUAAGAUUUACCAGCACCCCUCCUAAUUUCACCUAGAGAAACAAUGGCUAAAGUGGCAACCGAGGCUUGGAGCACAACCUGAUGGAAGAUGCAAAAGGCUCCAGGCAAGCAGGAGUGCCCUGCCUUUCCUUUGUCUUCUUGGAGGAAGAAUCCUGUGGCACUGAAGCCUGGCAGGACUUGAUCAGCUGCAGGAGCCCCCCAUACCUUGGUGCUGUUUCUUGCAUUCUUGGCACAGUCAGAAAUGCCUGUGACUGUGCAAGGUGGCAGGGACCCUGCUUGACCCCCUGCAGGCAGCUGGGGACAUUUGAUGAGGAAGGAUGCAACAGAGACAUUCUUGUUUCUGGGCUGCCUCCGAGGGCAAUCUGGCCUAGAUCAGUAAUCAGGGUCUUAAGAUGGUUCUGUCCAGAAAUAGCAUCAGAUGCCAGGCUGAUCCAGAUCCCAAAGGCUUCAAGUUACAGGACCCAAGGUGGAGCUGAUGGAUGUAUCCAGCUCCUUACAGCGCAGCUCGGGCAGUGACAACACACCCACCUAACCACAGUGUCAACACACCCACCUAACCACACAAUACACCCUAGAGGGAAAGAGCCCCCCUAAAAAUCUUUGUCUUCAGAAGAACUCUGUCUGAAGGCUUAAAAGAAAAGAAAAUGAAACACAACAUCCAGAAAAUCAGAUGUGAUUGCAUGGAGAGUUCAGAAUCUGCCAUUCAGGAAAUGCUGCCAGAGUCCCUGGCAGGUGAAAGAAGGCAAAGAGGGAAUCCAUUCACCACAAUGUAGAGUCCCACAGGCUUUCAUUUACCUGGCUUUUUCCUUCUCUAGGGCAUUCACUGACGCCUGCAGUUCUGAAUUCUGCUGAGCCACUUCUUCCCAGUGACUCUGUUCCCUGUCUAAGUUCUGCAGAUGCUCCUGCAGCUGCUUGUUCUGAUGUUCUGCCUCCUCCAGCAGCUUCUGGAUGUGCUCAAUCUCCAACAUCUUCUGCCUGGAGUCUUCCUGGGCCUCCUUCACAUCUUGCUGGGCUCUCUGCACAGUCAUUUCCUGGCAUUCUCGGGAGGCUUCCAGCUGAGAUGUCAACUCUCCCACCUCCAGUCAAAGAGGACAAAGCAGUCAGAGGCUAGAGCCACAGCUUCUCACUCUCAGCCACAGCAAGGCUGUGAGCAAAGGUAAAGGACAAUUUCCAUUUCUCCCUGUCCUGAGAGCACCAGAUUCACAAAGCACAUGGACAACUUGUUUCAGUCUCUCAGUGGCCCACCACCAAGGGCACCUGAAAAAGCACCUGCCAAGCCAAGGCUAGCAAGAAGAGGCCAGCAGGAAUCCAUGCUGGUGGUUGCUGGCCAACAGCACAGAGGACUAGCCCAGCUGUCCUGAGCAGCAGCUGACAUUCAGCAGAGGAUUGAGUGUCCCCCAGAGCAGCUGCCAUGGAGCUCCCAGAGCAGGAGACAGCCCCAGGGCUCACCCCAGCAGCUGCUGCUCUGCCAUGGAAAAGCAAAAAGGCCACAGACCCCUGGCUUCAUGACUGCAGUGUCACUGCAGUUUCACUCACCUGCUUUUGUAGAGCCUCCCUCUGCUCAAGGAGGAGAUUCAUUUCCUCUUUGAGGCCUUGUAGCUCUUCCUCAUGCCUCCUCUGCACUGCCUGGACUUCACUGCGAACCUCCUGCAGCUCAUCUUGCAGAUUUGCCUUGAUGAUAUGGCAACAAAAAGCUGAGCAACUCCCUGGGACCUGCCCUCAGGCUCACCUCUUUCCAUGUGCUGCCCCAAAAUCCCAUUCCCUCUGCUGCUUCUUUUGGCUUCUCUCCCCAGCUCUGCUUCACUGCAAGCCUUCCUUCCUGGGGCUGAGCUCUGGAGCUUACCAGGCUCUGUGCUCCCAGGGCCUGAAGCAGCCCUUGCUUCCUCAGUCCCAGGAGCUGCCUUUUGUGCCCUGGUCACUGCCCUGUCCUCUGUAGCCUGCCUACUCACACUCACCUGCCCCUUCUCUUGCUGCUCUUUCACCUCCUGCCUGAGCUGCUGGACCUGCUGGCGGGCUCGGCUGAGCUCUCCCUGAGUUUGGAGCAGUGCCUCUGCUAAAGCACUCUUCUCCUCCUGCUCUUCCAGCAGGACCUGCACAGAAGGAAAGAGCAGACGCCUUCACACUUCUCCUGCAACAUCCCUGUGGCAAGGGGCAAAGACUGAUGGGCUCACGUGCUCUCAGAGCACUUGGCUGCUGCUGCCCUGGGCCACUGCCUGCUCUGGGGGAGACACAGCUUCCCAGGAAGUGACUUAAAACACAGCCCCGAAGACAUCUCUGGGUUACUGUUCAGAAAUACUCCAGGCAAGCCUUUAAAAAGAUCUUUAUCCUGUCAGCAUUCCUGCUACACCCUCCCCAUGCCCACUAAAGAAAAGUCCUACAAACUCACCUUGGCCAUGAAUAUAUACGAGUACACACACAAUUAGAAAAGAGAAACUUGAAAAAGGCGCCCCUUAGAACUGUGAACACAAGGUCCAAACAUAACUAGGAAAUGGCCCUUUGUGGCGAUCUUCAAAUCUCACCAGCACAUCCUUCCUUUCCUUCUCCAGGUCCUCCAAUUUCCUCUGCAGAGAUUCCACCUCCUGACGAAGAGUCACAGACUCUUCCUGCCUUUCAGUGGCCUCUUUCUCCAGGGCAAUUUGGUGAGAGAUUUGCCUGGCUUCUGCCAGCACCCACUCUGCAGCAGAGAAGGGGAAGGAGAAGUAGAAGGGGAAAAGCAAAGCAAAGCCAAACUGAUGUGCAUCCUGCAGAGACAACAGCACUGUCUUCUCUGCUUGCCUGUGUUUGCCAGGCUCCAAGCCCACGAAGGUUCCAAAGCUGACAGAAAUGAAGGAAAGUUCCCAGUAGAGAAAAAGGCAGGAAUGAAAGGGGCAAGGUUCAGAGGGAUAGGAAAGUGUGUUUGCUCUUGGCCUUGUGCAGAGUGAGCAAGGCAAGAGAGAUGAAGGAGAGGGGAUGCCUGUGCAGGCCUGCUCCAGAGAGACCAAUAGCCUGGAGGCUCUGGCAGGGCCUGGAUUUUGGGGGAAUGGAGCUGAGGCAUCCAGCUACAGCUCCUCAGCUGGUGAGACAGCAUGGGGCAGUGAGUGGCAGAGGAGAAGCUGUACCUUGCUCACAUUCCUCCAACUUCUUCUGCAGCUCCAGGUUGCAGGCUCUGAGGUUGUCUCUCUGAGCCUCUGUUUUCCUCAGCUCCAGCUCCACAGCCUUACAUUGUGUGGCCAAGGCAAGAGCUUUGUCCUCAGAGCUCUGGAGCUUCACACGCAGGUCAGACACCUCAGCCUCCAGGACGUGCACAGAGUCCCUCAAAGAGCGUUCUCCUGCUCGAGACCCUUCCAGCUCCUUCAGCAGCUUCUUCUGUCGAGUUGCCUGGGAAGCCUCCAUCUGCAGCACUGCGUCCUGCAGGGCCAGGAUCUGGAAGAUGGAUGCACACAGCCUCAGGGACAGGGCUGCUCCUGAGGGAGCAGAGUGGGCCGCAGGGAGAGCAACAAAGGAGAAAAGAUUUCAGGCAAAAAACAUGUCAAAACCAGAAGGCACAGAAGCAAGGAUUCCAAUGGAGAGAAAUGUAGAGAAAACAAGUAAGGGAGGCACUGGGCAUCCUUGGGCGGCAGCUCUGAACAGCGGCUCAACUGGCUGUGCUGGAAGUGCCCUGCCCAGCCUGCCACAGCCACCUCUGUGUCCCCACAUUGCUCAGUGCCCGGCACAGGCCCACACUCUGUCUGGGACAGCACUGCUAACAGAGGGACAGAGAAGCCCCAGAGGAGUCUGCUGCUGCUUCUCUUCCCAGACUUCCUGCUGGGACCCGGGAGAGGAUGGGGGAAAACUUCUGCAGCAGACACCAGAUCCAGCCUCGGCCUCAGGGUGCAGCAGCAGCCCCGGGCAGAACACGGCAGCUGUGGAUGCUGCUGGGAGGGGAAGGAGGUUGGAGCCUCCAAGCCAAAGGUGCUGUUGUGUGUCCCUGGAGAAGAGGAUGCCACUGCACAGCUUACCUGCGUGUUGAGCUCCCGCAGUUGUCCAGCACGGUUGGAAGAGAGCUGUUCGGCCAGCUGAAGGGCAGAUUGACACUGAGACACCUGAUUGUUCAGUGCCAGGUUCUGCUCUUCCAGCGAUCUGAGGCACACAUUCUUCUCCUCCAGAGACAGAAUCAGGCUAGAAGGGAAGCAAGCAACUCAUUACUAACUGAUAUCACAUUUUAUCAACUCUUAGGACUUGCAUCAGCUCAGGGGAAAACUGCUCUGUCUGAUGAGGUUUGUCUGAGCAACUUGGCUGUUUGUUCCUCAUGCAGUCCCAGCCCAGCAUGUGCCUACUCUGCUUUGUCCCUGAAGGAACAGUGAGUUCCUGCCUACAUGCCCUACCUUCUUUUUGAGAUGGAAAUGUGAAUUCAAACAUAACAAAGUCUUGUCAUGAAGACAUUAGGGGAGAGGAACAAUUUCCUUCUGACUAACCAGGCUCCAAACAGGGAGGUUUGGUCAACAUGGAGGAGACAUUUGCUUCCCCCACCUUACACAUCCAGGUAGGAUGAGCAGCACCCUACAGCCAGGGGAUCUCUGGCAAGAUCCCUAAGAUUUACCAGCACCCCUCCUAAUUUCACCUAGAGAAACAAUGGCUAAAGUGGCAACCGAGGCUUGGAGCACAACCUGAUGGAAGAUGCAAAAGGCUCCAGGCAAGCAGGAGUGCCCUGCCUUUCCUUUGUCUUCUUGGAGGAAGAAUCCUGUGGCACUGAAGCCUGGCAGGACUUGAUCAGCUGCAGGAGCCCCCCAUACCUUGGUGCUGUUUCUUGCAUUCUUGGCACAGUCAGAAAUGCCUGUGACUGUGCAAGGUGGCAGGGACCCUGCUUGACCCCCUGCAGGCAGCUGGGGACAUUUGAUGAGGAAGGAUGCAACAGAGACAUUCUUGUUUCUGGGCUGCCUCCGAGGGCAAUCUGGCCUAGAUCAGUAAUCAGGGUCUUAAGAUGGUUCUGCCCAGAAAUAGCAUCAGAUGCCAGGCUGAUCCAGAUCCCAAAGGCUUCAAGUUACAGGACCCAAGGUGGAGCUGAUGGAUGUAUCCAGCUCCUUACAGCACAGCUCUGUCAGUGACAACACACCCACCUAACCACACAAUAUACCCUAGAGGGAAAGAGCCCCCCUAAAAAUCUUUGUCUUCAGAAGAACUCUGUCUGAAGGCUUAAAAGAAAAGAAAAUGAAACACAACAUCCAGAAAAUCAGAUGUGAUUGCAUGGAGAGUUCAGAAUCUGCCAUUCAGGAAAUGCUGCCAGAGUCCCUGCCAGAUGAAAGAAGGCAAAGAGGGAAUCCAUUCACCACAAUGCAGAGUCUUACAGGCUUUCAUUUACCUGGCUUUUUCCUUCUCUAGGGCAUUCACUGACGCCUGCAGUUCUGAAUUCUGCUGAGCCACUUCUUCCCAUUUACUCCAUUCCGUCUCCAAGUUCUGCAGAUGCUCCUGCAGCUGCUUGUUCUGAUGUUCUGCCUCCUCCAGCAGCUUCUGGAUGUGCUCAAUCUCCAACAGCUUCUGCCUGGAGUCUUCCUGGGCCUCCCUCCCAUCUUGCUGGGCUCUCUGCACAGUCAUUUCCUGGCAUUCUCGGGAGGCUUCCAGCUGAGAUGUCAACUCUCCCACCUCCAGUCAAAGAGGACAAAGCAGUCAGAGGCUAGAGCCACAGCUUCUCACUCUCAGCCACAGCAAGGCUGUGAGCAAAGGUAAAGGACAAUUUCCAUUUCUCCCUGUCCUGAGAGCACCAGAUUCACAAAGCACAUGGACAACUUGUUUCAGUCUCUCAGUGGCCCACCACCAAGGGCACCUGAAAAAGCACCUGCCAAGCCAAGGCUAGCAAGAAGAGGCCAGCAGGAAUCCAUGCUGGUGGUUGGUGGCCAACAGCGCAGAGGACUGGCCCAGCUGUCCUGAGCAGCAGCUGACAUUCAGCAGAGGAUUGAGUGUCCCCCAGAGCAGCUGCCAUGGAGCUCCCAGAGCAGGAGACAGCCCCAGGGCUCACCCCAGCAGCUGCUGCUCUGCCAUGGAAAAGCAAAAAGGCCACAGACCCCUGGCUGCAUGACUGUAGUGUCACUGCAGUUUUACUCACCUGCUUUUGUAGAGCCUCCCUCUGCUCGAGGAGGAGAUUCAUUUCCUCUUUGAGGCCUUGUAGCUCUUCCUCAUGCCUCCUCUGCACUGCCUGGACUUCACUGCGAGCCUCCUGCAGCUCAUCUUGCAGCUCUGCCUCCACUUGCUUCCUGGUCAUCUGCAGCUGUGAUAUCUGCUGCUGAGCAGCAAACAGCUUGGAUUGCAGUCUCUCCUUUGCUGACCUACAAGUUACAAAUGUGGACAUACAUGAGUUGCUUGCUCCAGACGCCCACAGCCCGGUAUUCCAGGACAACGUGGCUCAAGAUCCCCACACCUGAGUAUGGAAAAUGGGUCACCUUGAAACUCAUCCAGAGAAGGCACAUCUGGGCCAUUUCAAGAGCACAGCAGGGCCCUCUGAGGGACUGCCCAGGCCUUCCUUAUGGCCUGGCAUAGCACGGACUGCCCAGCCCAAGCUGGCCUCAACAGCCAAACCUUCAGUUGCUGUUCCUGACCUAUGACACUGGGUAGCUGUGCCCAAACAGGGUGGAGCAAAUAGCAAAAGCCCAGCCUUGCUCACAGCCUUUCUCUCAUCAGCACUUCCAAGCUGCUCUGCAGGGGGAGAGAACAGAUUCUUGUCCUGGCUGACUCCUGACUUUUUAAUGCUCUUGAUAAUGGACAUAAAGGUACAUCAUCCUCCAGACACUCUGUAUUUAAGAGGCUUCAGAACUACUUUGCAAAUACAGUAAAAUCUCAUGGUCAGGGCAGCACUUGUAAAAAAUCACAACAGCCUUUGCCUGAACAACAACUACCUGAAUGCAGAGACUGCACUUUCAACUCUUGCAAGGUCAUGGGGUAGACUUGCCACCUUUAUUUUAGUGUUGCCCUCUAAGCAGGCAGUAGCCCAAGGGACUUGUCCUUCCUUACAGAGUGAGAGGGACCAUCCAAAGGCACCUUGGAGGCUUUGGCAGCUGGCUGCCCAUCAACAAUCAUCAAGAGUGCCCAGAGGCUGUUGAGAAUUCCAAAGAGCUUUCCCUGCUGCUCUCUAACCCGCUCUAUGUCCUGUCCCACACUUCUCAAGAGUGUUCUUGGAAGUAGAAAUGCCUCAAGAUUUUCAGCAGGAGCCUUUGGCUUCACCCUGAAUGGCAGUGUGCUACGCCCAAAGUGCCAAGGUAAGAUCCUGGAAUGCUGAAGAUGAAGCUUCCUGAUCUGAAGAUCAGGAUCAUGUCAAGCUACUUGGAAAGGAAUGAGGGAUGUUCAAUGCCCAGAACAAGGAACCAAACCCAAGAGAAACCUGAGGUUUCACUCAUCUGCAUGGUUGAACUACUACUCAGUUCAGGGCUGGGUGGAUUGCUUUUGACAUCCCACAGGAGCGUGCUCGGUGGCACAAACAGGAGCCCAAGGCUCACGAGAACUUUGCUGGCUUUAGGUGUCAGAAGAAUAACCUUCAUUUUGUGGUUUUUUUGUUUUUUUCUUGAGACACUUCCAUAUUCGGUCCACAGCAUGUAAAAACAUCUGAAAAGGCUGAGCUCCCUGCUUUUACCUGGUCUCUGCCAGCUGCCUGGCAAGGUCUUGUCGGAGCCACUCGGUGGCUGCCAGUCGGCCCUCAAGGUCAGCCUUCUGGCCCAGCAGCUCCUCCUCUUGCCACACCUGGGCCACUUCAUGCCCUUGGUCAGAGGAUUCCUGGCUCAGAUACUCCAGAGACCAGCUGGAUGACUCUUGCUCCAGAGAAUCCUGCAAGUGGGACAAGGUACAGCUCGAGCCCUUCCUCAAGUGCCCUGUGCAAAGCCAGCCAGUGCCACCUCGCAGGCAGCCAGAGGACAAGGAGCACCUGUGCCCUGGGCUCAAAGUUUCCCCAGCUCCGUUCCCUGUUUUAGAGGCUCUGUGGCUGCCCAAAGCCAUACAUUUUGCAGAAGCAUGCAACACUUUGCUGAUGAACAUGCAUAUCCCUGCCUAAGAAAUGCGUGUGCCAUCUUGAGCCAGGUGUGCACAGCAGUGUGCCUGUCCUCUACUGCCAGAAAGAGCAUCUGGGCUGAUCUGGCUGCCACAACUGCCACUCCCACAGGUGCUGCCCAGCAAUAAGGUGUUCAGAGCCGUGCUAACAUCAUCCCUCUCUUGCUCCAGCAGAUCCCUCUGAAGCUGCAAUUCCUCCAAUGUCUGCCUCUUGACUUCCAGCUGCCUCUGCAAUGAUGGCUCUUUUCCCUCGAGCGCAGCCAAGUCCUCCACUGUACAAGAAGGGGCAAGAUGAGUUUUCAAGGGAAAACCAGUCUCCUUUCCAAAACCAACCUCCAUCAUGUCCUGCUGCUCUGUCUUUUCUGCCUGGGCUGAUGCUUCCUUCUGCUGCUUGGUGCUCUUCUGAUGCAGACAAAAGGCUCCUGGCUCUGGGAUUCCGGUGCAUUGCAGCAGAAUUUCCCUGGACUUCUCAAGGUUUGCACAGUCACUGCAGAGACAAGGCUCAGUCAGAAGAAACAAGAGGCCUGAAGAGUCAGCAGUGCCAUUUUCAGCACUCCAGGAUGGAGCUGGGGGCAGUGGGCUAAGGAAGACCUUGGUCUUUCCCUCCCAAGGAAAUCCUGCAGAGGCAAAGGGAAAGGAAGGCAGGAUUAUGCCUUCCUUCAGUAAGAAGCAGUGGCUGGGCAGGGGCACGCAAAGAACAGAAUUCAGGGAAGCAGCACAGCGAGAAGGAGUCUUCUAUUCCAGCAUGGCUCUGCAUCUCCUAGACAGCCGUGGGAGGCACAGUAGAGCAUGAAAAACCCAGACAGGACAAUGCUCGAGAGCCACACUGAGGCCUACACAUGGUAGGCAGGUGAUUUCUUCUCCAGGACACCUCUGACCUCCCAGGCCUGGAAGCAGAUUGCCUCUGGAAUGCAGGAGGAGGAGGAGGAAAUGCUCACCUACUGAUUUCUUCUAGCAGAGAGUCUAUGAUUUGGUAUUGGCUUCUGAUCCUCUGGGUUCUCUCCUCUAUUUGGUCAAACUGUUGCCACAUGCGCCCACAAUUCUCUGUAGCUUCCCGAGCCAAUUCAAAGGGAUGCUGCUCAUCAGUGGAUGUCAGAGUGGAGAGGAUGUUCCCAGGAUUGUGGGUGGAAAUGAUGGAAUUGGCCAUGCUGUCACCGUUGUCUGCCAGCACCUGAAAGCCCACAUCCAGCUGUUAGUCAGGUAUUGUGUUCCUAUUCCAAAGUAGCACUGAAAUGCCUCUUCUGAUCCCACAAGAACCAGUGUCCAUUCAUGGAGAGCCAGUUUCAAAAUGCCAGCCAGCUCAGCACAGUUUACUCACCUCAGGGGGUCUGGAGGAACGUCCCUGGUGAGAAAGCCCUCGAGCUCCCUGCAAGUGCACAGGGAAGAGCACACUCAGACUGCAUGGCUGCCCCUGAGGCAGUUGCCUCUAAGUGCUUCCCAGCCUGUCCCAGAGCACAGCACUUCCAGCUGAGCUCUUCCUCCCCUCCGUGGCAAUAUUUUCAGCCCAGCAGUUUGACAGCAGCACAAAGAAACAUGCUGGAAGGUGUCUCAUCACUUCUAAGAACACCAGAAGGGGAGCUGCCCAGAGCCCAAUCCAUCCUGGCCGUGAACACCCCCAGGGAUCCAGGGGCAGCCACAACUUCUCUGGGCAACCUCAAGCCUGGGUGCCAGGGCCUCAGCACCCUCAGAGGGCAGAAUUCCCUGCCAACAUCCCAUCCAUCCCUGUCCUGUCUUGGUGGGAAGGCUUGUCCUGUCCCUGCAGGUCCCUGGCUUAAGUCCCUCUCCAGUUCUCUUGCAGCCCUUUCAUGCAUUGGAAGGGGCGCUAAGGUCACCCUGGAACCUUCUCCAGCCUGGACAACCCCAACUCUUGCAUCCUUUUCCCUUGGCACAGGUGCUCCAGCCCUUGGAGCAUCUUCCUAUGAUCCUUGUGACCUCCUCUGAGCCACUGGGGAUCAUUUUGGAGAUGUCUGGGAGAAACUCAUUCUUGACUCUGGGAAGCGCUGACGCUGUUCUGUAAUUUGGGUGAGGGGAAGGCAAUGAAAAGCUGCCGCCUUGUUUGUGCCCAUGGCCUCCAGUGGGACAAGGACAGAGGAGGAGAUGUGGCUGUGCUCUGGGAUAUCCAGGAGCCCCCUAUUCCCUCCCAGGCCUGUCCCCAGGGCAAGCACCACAGCUGCUGCCAGCUCUGGAACAGCCAACUGUUAAUCCCUUGCUAAUCCCAAAGGGAACUGUUCCCUGAGGCACAGCCCAGGCCCACCCAGGCCCCUGCAGGGCUUGGCACAAGGAGAGCAGCGGCCUUGACACUCACCCUCCGGGUCUCCAUCCGCCCCUUGGCACCAGCAGUGAGGAAGCAGCAGUGACCAAAAGCCCUUGGCCUUAGCAGGGUCUAAACCCCAGUGACCAAAGGCCCUUGGCCUUUGCAGGGUCUAAACCCCAAUAUCCAAAGGCCCUUGGCCUUUGCAGGGUGUACACCCCAAUAUCCAAAGGCCCUUGGCCUUUGCAGGGUCUACACCUCAAUAUCCAAAGGUUCUUGGCCUUUGCAGGGUCAAUAGCACACGAGUGCCGUUGGCCUUUGCAAGGUCCAAGCCCCAAAGAGCACGAGCUGUUGACAGCUCCAGGGUCCAAACCCCAAUAGCCAGGAGCUGCUGAUUGUUGCCAGGAUCCAAUCCCCAGCAUUCCAUGGCCUUUGUGACAGUUGCCAGGGUCAUACCCCCAGCAUUCCAUGGCCUUUGUGAUGGCUGCCAGGGUCCAAACCCCAGCACUCCAGGGGCUGUUGGAGAGGCCCUCCCUGGCUCUCCCCCCACCCCAGCUCCCUGCUGCUCCUGGCACAGGCCCUGCCUCCCCUGGGUCCCCAGAGCCCUCCUGGGCAGCUGGGCAGGGACCUGGCUCAUAAGUCAGUGCUAAGGCUCAGCAUUCUCAAACUGCAGGUUCUUUAGGGAUGUGCUUAGUUCCUGAGUCACAGGAAUUCUUCUGUCUUCCCUGACAAAGGGCACAUGAAACAAAAAGCCUAAAAAGUUUCUUGGUGCUUACAAAUAUUCAUGGAAAGUAAAGCUUUGCAUUGAGAACAGACACAUGUGGAGGAAGAAUGGUGUUUCAUGGGCUUUUCAAAUUUCUACAGAGAAAUGCCAAGAGCUGCAGGUUUUAAGGCUCAUCAAAUAGAUUAAGAACACUGAGACACAACCACAAAUGCAUUUUUCUCUCUGCUUUCUGUUUGGCAUUAUAUCACUCAGUCUUGUAGGCAGAAGAAAAGUCUUGCUGCUUACAUCAAAGAUUCCUUGCUAGGAACAGACCUUCAAGAACCAAAUGAGUCUGCUUGCAGAAGCUUUGGCAGGUACUUUUUGCCCUCAUCUUCGAUAGUGUUCAUCUGUGUCCUAGGGAGGAUUUUGUGCCCCAGUUGACACGAAUGGGCUUCUGAGCAGGGCACAAAUCCUGCGUGGAAGAGAAGAGCUGCACCUGCCUUCUCUAAGGCCUGUCUCUCCAGAGACAGAUGGCCCAAGGAUGUCACUGCCAAGUUCAGGUUCAGAGAGCGAUGCAGCUUCAAGUCUCUGCUUCCACAAGAGCAGCUUUGGGCUCCUUGAGUAGAGCUGCAAAGGAGCAGGACAGCUCCUGGUGAAGGUCUGACAGCUCCUGCCUGGUCCUUGCACAGCUCUCAGUGUAGUUCUGCCGGUGCUGUCGGUCUUGGGCCAGCUGUGACUGCAGCAGGGACACCUGAAAGAGGCACAAGGCCCAGCUCAGACAAGCCCACGCUGGCAGGAGCACCUGCAGCGCCACGGUUCCGGCUCUCGGGGCAGACACAGCCUCCAACUCCAGCCCUCAUCAACACUCUGCCCUUGGGCAAGGGGAAAGGAACAGGCUCCCAGACAGAACAGAGCUCAGAUGGUCAACAAGUCCAGCUCAAGGCUGGCAAACCCUUCCCACGUACAUCCCUCAGCCACCACCAGGUCUAGUACAGAGACUUCCAACGGGAUUUAGGAACCAUUUGGUGAUUUCCAAAGCACACAUUAGGGCCACUCACCUCUUUCUCCACAGGCUGUGCCUCAGCACGAGGGCUGCUGCUCCCCUGAGCUCAUGGAGGACUCUUCUACUUGAGCUGCUGGGCUGCCAGCCCAGGCAUGAGGGGAAUGUGGUGCUUGGGUUUUUUUGGUGCUUUCUUGAGGCAUUUGAGCACCCCAAGCCCCUGUUUAUCCCCAUUGUGAAAAACAAGGUUCACUCUCCUGUAAAAAUUUAGAAGUUGAAUAAAGGACAAUAAGAGACAAAGAUAAUAAAGCAAAGUUUUGGUGGUGUGUGCUUGGCAUUUAGCCAAGAGCACACCUGCCAUUUCAGA